RNAcentral lists this long non-coding RNA (5117 nucleotides) under Capsicum annuum. RNAcentral's name for it is "long non-coding RNA (CANN_LNC018063)". Lineage: Eukaryota; Viridiplantae; Streptophyta; Magnoliopsida; Solanales; Solanaceae. The record is from RNAcentral.
GAAUGUCAUCCAUUCAUUUCUUAGGUAAAAGUUACAUGAUGAUGUAAAAAGAAAAUACACCGAUCAUUCACCAAACUUAAACUCAAAUUAAAAUUGUUUUUUACGUGAAUUCCCUUAUUUUCUAUGUACAUAUGUUUACUUCUUUUUAUUUUCUGAAUCUCAUCAUGAAAAUUCUGACUCUGCUGCUCGGACAACGGGACAACACCAAAUUUUCCUAUAUAAGGAGGCAUCAAGAAGUCACUCUACCCCAUCAUAACAAAAAAUAAAAUUCUCAAAGAGUGAAAGAGAGAAAUAAGAUUAACUACACAAAAUGAGCAACCCAAAUGGCAAAGGCAACGAUGAGAAUGGUAAAGAAAAUGAGAUGAUCACAAGUAGUGAAAUAAUAAAAUCAGUUGGUAUUGUUGCUGCUGCUGUUGGUUUUGCUGCAUGGGGCAUUUGUAAAAUUAUGGGGUCUUCAGUUGAUGAAAAUAACAAGAAGUUGAUGAAAAAACCAGGAGCAGAUGGAUACAUGAAUAGGGAAGACUUUGAAAAAAAUCCUAAAGACUAUUUCCGCGAUCUUCACGGAAAGAAAUGAAAUCAAUUGAUGGAUGAUCGAUCGUUUCAUUUUAUAUUUCUACUAUAUAUAUAUAUAUAUAUAUAUAUAUAAUAUGAUAUGAUAUGAUGUGUGCUUGUGUCGUAAAAUGUCUCUAUAUUGCUAUUACUAGUAAGAAAUAUGUGGGAUGUUCCAUUGUGUUGGAUCCAAGUUUUAAAGUUUGAUAUUUAACAUCUACUUAUAUCAAAUUGUUGAAAUUGAAUUUUAGAAAUAUAGUUUCAAAUAUCAAAUGCCCACACCCUUAAUGAAUUAUUUAUAAAAAUAUCUCAAUCAUGUAUUGGAGGCCUAAGGCAAAACUCUAAUAAGGGCCUUAUCUUAAGUUUAAACUCUAAUGAAAAUGCUAUUUUUUUUUCUUUUCUGGUUUUUGCUUGUGGUAAAAUGAGUGUUGAGAAAAAAAUUAAAAGGAUAAAUAUAAAGUAAAGAAUAAAUAUUGCAAUUAUAUUUUUAAUAUAUGAUAUCCGAAAGUCGCAAUUUUCAUUUAUUAUUAUUACAUAAUAGUUUUGUUUUAUCAAAAAUUUACUAGUUUAAAAUUUUAUAUUCGUCUCUGCCACACACACAUAUAAGGGUGGCAAAGGAACCUUAAUUUUUCGUUCCGAUCCGGUUACGCCGAUUUUGGUAACACAAUGGUACCGAUUGCAACCGCUAUAUCGGUACACAAUGGUUCGGAAUCCGUUACCGAUGCAAACUGUGACUUUUUUCCGGUAGUUCAGAUUUACUGGAUCCGGUAUGGCAUCAUAAUUAACGUCUGAUUUUUUUUUAAAAAAACUUAAAUAAAUAUAAUUAAACUUAUUAAAAAUAUUAUAUUAACUUAAACUUAAAAGAUAUAUAUUUUUUAAGUUUAAGAUAUAUUAAAAAAUAUUAUAUAAUUUAAACUUAAGAAAAAACGUGAAGUUCGUCUUUUCGGUAUAAAUCCAGUUGUCGGUUCAGUCCGAUACGAUUCCACACCAAUAACCAACGAAUCGGUGUGAAACAAUCAAAAAAUUCGGUAUUCCGGUUCCAGUAGUAUCGGCUCCGGUCGGUUGCCACUCUUACACACAUCCUUGCUUAAUACACUUCCUUCGUGAAUGCAAGUCUAAACGUAGCACUACUUGACCAGAUUGGGCCAUAACUCAUAAGGACAACAAAUUACAAUAAGACAACACACAUCCAUACAUCCACAUGGGUAGGAUUAGGAAGAAGCAAAAGUAAACAUAAUGUAACUUACUAAUGAAGAAUCAAUAAUGUGUAAAUAGCAACAAGAGUCAAGCUCAAUAUGUCAGGCAUGUAAAUGAAAUUGCCCCACCUUCUAAUUCUUUUGGUGGGACAGUUUUGAAGUGACGAUAAAAUUCUUUGUAUAUGAUCUUUAAUGUAACUUACUAAUGAAGAAUCAAUAAUGUGUAAAUAGCAACAAGAGUCAAGCUCAAUAUGUCAGGCAUGUAAAUGAAAUUGCCCCACCUUCUAAUUCUUUUGGUGGGACAGUUUUGAAGUGACGAUAAAGUUCUUUGUAUAUGAUCUUUUAAAUUAUUUCUUUUAAAUUGUCAUAAUUUUAUUUAAGAAUUAUACAUUGGCAAUCAACAUUUUAAAGUAUCGGGGGUUUAUUAUAUUGAUAUGGAAAAAAUUAUAAUUUAUUAGGGAUCUAUUUUAUCAAAUUAAUCUUACUAAUUAUGCUUUGAAAGUAUACAUUUGAGUAUAUAUAAUUUGUUUAGUCAUUUAAUGACAAAGAUAAUAUUAAAAAAAUAUAAUAAUAUUCUCCUGACUUAAUAAAAACAAAAAUUAAAUUGAAACAAAUACUUUUAGAAAAGGGAUCAACUACGUUUUAACGAAUGAUUUUUUUCUUUUUAAUUGAGGUGUGUUUCUAUGUGUGAUCGUUCAUACAUCCAACUAUUUUAUUUUUAUUUAUUUUUGAUGUUUCUUCUAUAAUUUUCUUCUUGCUUCUUCGUUUGAACUUCCAUAAGAAAUUAAACAUUUUCCUAAGAAAAAAAAUGGUACGCAUUACAUCAUGUCACAUCAGAGUAGUGGACUUCAGAGUCAACCCCCCCCCCCCUUCUCCCCACCUCAAAAAAAAGAAAAAAAAGACUUAAAAUGAGGAGACAAAAAUGAAUGAAAUUUAGGAAGUAAUGGCUAAAUGGAGUAUGAUUUGAAUGCAUUGAUGAGCAGUAAUUGAUUCUUCCACAGCUUAGUUGACUACUUAUAUUCCCCAAUUUUACAAUUAAUAUUUCCUCCGACUCAUUUUACUUGUUUUGAUUUAGCUUGACAUUUUAAUUAAAAAAUAAUUAAUAACAUAAUUAAUUUAUUAUAAUAUUCCUAUUAAAUGAUGUUUACAUUUUAAUUUAAAAAAAAAUAAUUAACGCAAAGGGUAAAUAUGAAUUUUUUUUUGUCUCUUCUUGAUUUAUGAAAAAUGACAAGUAAAGAAGGAAUUAAAUUAAAAAAUUUGAAACAAGUAAAAUGAAAUGGAGGGAGUAUAAUGACAAAAUAGUAAAUUGUUAUAAAAAAUAAAGACAAAAUCUCAAUAUCAAAUUUAAAGAAAUGAGAGAAUUUUAGAGAAUUUUUGUACUUUCUUCAUUUCAAAAUAAUUAAAUUGUUGAUGUAUGACACAUUUUUUAAGAAGAAAUAUUAGGAUAUAAAUUGUGGGUUACUUUUUACUAUUACUUUUUUAAUUGUUCUUAAACUACUCUAUUAGAAAAUGUGAAGUACUCCUCCGUUUUAUUUUACUUGUUAUAAAUUUUCUAAUUGUAUUUUUACUUUUACUUGUCUUUUUUGACAUAUUAAGAAAAGAUAAUUUAUUUUUUUCUUUUUUAUUGUUCUUAUUAAUUAUUUUUUCUCCAAAUUAAAAUAUAAAUACCAUUUAAUAGGAGUAAGUAGCCAUGUUAUUAUUAUUUUUUCUUAAUCAAUGUGUCAAGUCAAAUCGUGUCAAGUAAAAUGAAACGGAGGGAGUACUUAAGAACCUUAUUAAAUGAAAGGGUAAAAUUGAAAGAAAUUUCCAAUAUGUCUCUUGAAGAAUGGACAAUUCAUUUAUUUUAGACAUUAACAAAUAGCUCAACAAUUCAAUUAUUUUGAAAUAAAGGAAGCAAUACUUUUGCUUUUACUACUUAGAUAUAGUAUCAAUAAAAAUGUACAAAAGAGUGACUAUUUAUAGACUACCAAACUUACUCCAUAAUGUUGUCAAACUUGAUAUCAAGUUGACAACUUGGUCAACUUUCUUAGGUAUUCAAAUAUAUUCAAAUUGAACAAGUAACUUCAAGUUUGGCAGUUUGGCCAACUGCCUUAGGCAUUCAAAUCCAAAUUGAACAAGUAACUCUUGGGGUUCACAUUCAAUUUGACUACUACUAUCAUUUCUAAUUGAUGACAUUCCACACAUACAUAUGUCACAUGACAUCUAUAUUAUAUAACACUCCCCCUUGGAUGUCCAUUAAUAGAUAGUGUGUUUCAUUAAAUUCUUACUAGAAAAAAUCCAAUGGAAAGAAACCUAGUAAAGGAAAAAGAGUACACACAUCUUGUAAUACGCCUUUAGUGUUGUCUCAUUAAAAACCUUACCAGAAAAAUUUGAUUGGAACAAAACCUUGGUUAAAGAAAAAAGAGUACAACGCGUAUUUUACUUCCCCUGAUGAAAACUUUAAUUUAAUGACUUGAAUCUCUGCAUCUGAAUCUUGUGCACCAUGUUCUCGAAAGUUGCAGUUGGUAGAGACUUGGUGAAUAAAUCGACAAUAUUGUCACUUGAACGAAUCUUUCGCAAGAUGAAUAAAUCAGCAAUAUUGUCACUUAAAUGAAUCUAUCACAUGUUAAUAUUAUCAUUCUUUUGGAGCUCAUGUGAGUAGAAAAGUUUUGGCAAAAUAUGUUUUACUCUCUCCUUUUAUGAAUUCUCCUUUUAAUUGCACUAUGCAUGCUUCAUUAUCUUCAUAUAAAAUCAUAGGCACUUUAUCACAUUCCAGACAUAUUUUUCUCGAUUGAGAUGUAUCAUGGAUUUUAACCACACAUAUUUUUGGCUUGCUUCAUGAAUACCAAUUAUCUUAGCAUGAUUUGAAAAAGAGACAAUUGUUGUAUAUUUCAGCGAACGCCAUGAUUUAGUUGUAUCUUCAUAUAUAAGUAAAUAGCCCAUCUGAGAUUGAAUUUCAUGUGAAUCACAUAAAUACCUUUUCAAUGUAUGUUCAUCGAUGAAAAAAUAUUUCAUUUGUCAAAUACUCUGAGUAUACAUCCAAUAAUACGCAUUGUUAGUUGCCUCAUUAAAAACCUUGUCAUGAAAACCUUGUAGGACAAAAUCUCAACAAAGAAAAAAAGAAUAAAGCGCGUAUUAUACUCGCAUCGAGUAAAACAUCAUUUUAUUCUUGUAAAUAAUGCUCCAUAAUUCAUAAGUACACCAACUGCACUAAAACAUGGUAGGUACUAAUCAUUUUCAUGAAGUUAAAAUUGAUUUAUUUUUAAGUUAAGUGAUCUAUAUAAUUGUAAUGCCUCGAGAGUACACCUUGGGCGUCACAUGGUGCCUACAACCCCAAAGGAUCACAAGCUAACCCAUGUUGGAACCUUCCGUGAGCACUAUAUAAAAUAACAA